This 465-nucleotide ribosomal RNA is filed under the name uncultured bacterium. RNAcentral describes it as "bacterial SSU rRNA". It matches the Rfam family "Bacterial small subunit ribosomal RNA", at positions 329 to 794 of the family's 1533-position model. The record is from RNAcentral.
CCCCAGACUCCUACGGGAGGCAGCAGUGGGGAAUAUUGCACAAUGGGGGGAACCCUGAUGCAGCGACGCCGCGUGGGUGAAGGAGCACCUCGGUGCGUAAAGCCCUAUCGGCAGGGAAGAAAAGCGAACAGGUUCGCCUGGACGGUACCUGACUAAGAAGCCCCGGCUAACUACGUGCCAGCAGCCGCGGGAAUACGUAGGGGGCGAGCGUUAUCCGGAUUUACUGGGUGUAAAGGGAGCGUAGACGGUUCUGCAAGUCUGAAGUGAAAGCCCGUGGCUUAACCGCGGAACGGCUUUGGAAACUGUGGAACUGGAGUGCUGGAGAGGCAAGCGGAAUUCCUAGUGUAGCGGUGAAAUGCGUAGAUAUUAGGAGGAACACCAGUGGCGAAGGCGGCUUGCUGGACAGUAACUGACGUUGAGGCUCGAAAGCGUGGGGAGCAAACAGGAUUAGAGACCCCGGUACAA